UGACCUUAAAAUAGCUCUUAAAAAAUUAAAAACUGCUUUUAUUCUAGCCGAAAUAAAACAAAUAAGACUUUCUCCAGAAGAAAAAAUAUUAUCAGACAUACUGUGAAAAUUUCCUUGCUCUGUUAAACAUAAUUUGGGAAAUAUUUAAAAAAAAAAUCAAAGGGGGCUAAUAAUUCUGUGUGUAUAUAUAUCUGAGUAUUGAUGUGAAAAUUUAACACCUAAGAACCUCUUUACUGGUUGAAAGUGUGUAUCAUGAGAAGAAAGUCUUCUUUCUAUAGGAGAGGAUGUGGUGAGAACAUAUAAGAGCCAUAUGAACACGUCUGUGCCAGUGUUAGCCCUUCUGUCUUGAAAGUCUGCAGAUCUGCCAACAAGCAAAGUUUGAGCUGACAUCUCUGCAGCAGAAAAAAUGAACAGUUUGCAGUUGGUUUCCAUCUUCUACGGUCUUCUUACUUUAAGUGGCGGUGGGACUGCAGUGUUUGGUAUAUGGUCCUUUACACAGAAAGACUCCUCAUCCGACAUUUUCUCAAACGUGGACAGCACCACGAUCUUCACAGGUUUGGGGUCGCAGGCGCUCAUCGGUCUGGGCUGCGUCAUUGUCCUCGUAGGCGUCCUUGGUUU
Danio aesculapii is the source of this 618-nucleotide long non-coding RNA. RefSeq lists it as uncharacterized. The transcript has 3 exons. The record is from RefSeq and is a predicted model, not a curated record. Lineage: Eukaryota; Metazoa; Chordata; Actinopteri; Cypriniformes; Danionidae.